Molecule: long non-coding RNA, 1498 nt
Filed under: Sus scrofa (pig)
Lineage: Eukaryota; Metazoa; Chordata; Mammalia; Artiodactyla; Suidae
Description: lncRNA (ENSSSCG00050013766.1)
Source: RNAcentral
AUGAAACAAAGACCCAUGCCAAAGCCUGUCAUGACAUUUCAGAUCGCUAGGAACCAAGAAGAUACUCUAAAAAUCCCCAGCAGUAAAGUCAAUGGUUGUCAAGAGAAGCACAAAAAGCAUCCCAUUAGAACGGCUUCAGUCUUUUCUCUCUCUGAUUUCCUCUCCAGGUUCUCCCAACAGGACGAUAAACUCAUCUGGAAGGCAGAGGGCCUGCCCAUUCAUAAACCUGUUGAUGUGGUCCCCAGAGAUGCAGGUAUGAGACAGCGCAACCCUUCCAUCACCCAACACUGCAACUUGUGGAUUUAUUUGUAUGGAGCUCCAGCAUUGCCAGUGCCCCUCAUUGUCUGGAGUGCACACCUGCCUGACCUCAGUAGACCCUUCAGGAAGUAUUCUAAGGGUGCAAGAGGAGAAAGAAGAAAUAGCCUGGCCAUCUUCCUGAAAUUUUCCCCAAAUGCUCAAUUCCCUGGGACCAGAGAGGAACCUCAGAUACAAACUUGACAAUGCCAAUGGAAAUAAUCAAUAUCAACCUAUAAAGGAAUAGAAAAGUUUUAUUUGAACUAAACUGAGGACUAUAGGCCAGGAGCCAGCCUCUCAGCCCUGAGGAACUGUUCCAAAGAAGCAUGAUUUUCAGCAUAUUCUUACAUCUUAUCGGUCAAAGAACAUCAGACAUGACAGGGGUACAUUCCUUCAAAGUUUCAAGAAGGACAAGUCAGCAUGUACCCAGUGAGUCCCUAAGGCCUUGGCACCGGAGGAGGAAGGCUUAUCAUUGAAGGAGCACUAGCAGUGACCUCCCAGGAAAAGAAGCAUUUAGCCUUUAUCUUUAAAACCAACAUUCUUUACUUCUGGCCGAUGCACCCUCUUCUUUACUGAUUAAAGCAGAUUACGAUGGAAGUUUGGUAAGCCACAAAGAGGCUGUUCUAGUUAGCAUGUUCAAGUUCAAGUUAAAUAUUGUCUAAGCCAGAAUGAUGUCCUCAUACCUCAGUAUGUGAAAUUUUCUUCCAUCAACAAGAAGCCUGAGGACAAAAUUUUAAAAGGGAAAUUCUGCAAAAAUUUGGGAUGGGGGAAAUGAAAGAGGAGAAUGGCUCUAUAUUAUAGGUCCUGGAAGAGGGGAGCUGGCCCCACACCCCAAAAUGGGUUUGUCUGGGCAAAUGACAAGAUAGGGAGGCUCCCCUAAUGUCCCCUCAUCUACCCAAGUGUGUUGGGGAACCCCCAGAGGCCAUGCAGAUGCCGACAACCGUAGCCACAUGUAACAUGACCAGAACCCGUGUUAUACCACAGUUUGGCUUCAUCAUAAUCCUGAAAGCACGGCAAAAAUUCUAGGUAUCAGGAGAGUCUCCAAAACCAUGGCCUGAUCCUCAAUGGAAAGAUUCCUGGGAGUGAGUUUAUUUUCUCUUUCUCUCUCUCUCUCUUUUUUUUUUUUUUUUGCCUUUUACAGCCACACCUGCAGCAUAUGGAGGUUCCCAGGCUAGGGGUUGAAUUGGAGCAACAGCUGCUGGCC